Molecule: long non-coding RNA, 220 nt
Filed under: Solanum tuberosum (potato)
Lineage: Eukaryota; Viridiplantae; Streptophyta; Magnoliopsida; Solanales; Solanaceae
Description: long non-coding RNA (STUB_LNC006365)
Source: RNAcentral
AUCAAGUUCGUAACUCUUGAUGCCAAUUAACAUUUCACUAUCAUAGUUUUCCAAGUUUCAAGUCUUGGAUUAGAUUCCAAUUAUUUCCUUUCCAAUAUCAUAUUUCAAAUGAUAUUCACUUAGUACCAUACAUAUGGUAUUUAAUUACACAUACCAUCCUAUCAACACUUGAAUCAUAAUAUAAUAACCAUAAUAUAAAAUUUAACCGAAUUGAUUUAGG